This 423-nucleotide long non-coding RNA is filed under the name Androctonus crassicauda. Lineage: Eukaryota; Metazoa; Arthropoda; Arachnida; Scorpiones; Buthidae. The record is from RNAcentral.
GUCCUGUGCAAUUGUGUGUUGGUUCAGCUAGACUGCCUACCACAUUGGCACGUAAGGCCUAUGAACAAAUAAUCACCAUUGACUGGGCGCAAGCAACCCUAGUAAAACCAACGCACAAUUGCGCAGGGCUGGGUGCAGUGGGGGCUGUGUAGGUGGAGAGGGUGAGGCUCUCUCAUGAUAUUGUCAACGAAUGGCACCCUCCUCGCACUCCCUGUAUCAUGGAGGUGGUGUGCGAUCGACAAUAUAUGACUUCGACUGUCACUCCAGAUCUACCAUAUACAAUAUAUAUUCCACAACCACUUGGGAUUGCCUUUGCAACUGGAGGGCUGGCCUGCGACGCCUACCGGAGCGUGGCCCUUCUGCGGCCUGCAGUGUUUGCGCCGUGAGCGUGGAGGGAGGGCAUAGGAGCCCCGUAGGGACAAG